CCUACGGGUGGCAGCAGUGAGGAAUAUUGGUCAAUGGACGAGAGUCUGAACCAGCAAAGUAGCGUGAAGGAUGACUGCCCUAUGGGUUGUAAACUUCUUUUAUAUGGGAAUAAAAUGUUCCACGUGUGGGAUUUUAUAUGUACCAUAUGACUAAGGAUCGGCUAACUCCGUGCCAGCAGCCGCGGUAAUACGGAGGUUCCGAGCGUUAUCCGGAUUUAUUGGGUUUAAAGGGAGCGUAGGUGGAUAGUUAAGUCAGUUGUGAAAGUUUGCGGCUCAACCGUAAAAUUGCAGUUGAAACUGGGAGUCUUGAGUACAGUAGAGGUGGGCGGAAUUCGUGGUGUAGCGGUGAAAUGCUUAGAUAUCACGAAGAACUCCGAUUGCGAAGGCAGUUCACUGGACUGCAACUGACACUGAGGCGCGAAAGUGUGGGUAUCAAACAGGAUUAGAUACCCGGGUAGUC
Molecule: ribosomal RNA, 460 nt
Filed under: uncultured bacterium
Lineage: Bacteria
Description: partial 16S ribosomal RNA
Rfam family: Bacterial small subunit ribosomal RNA
Source: RNAcentral